RNAcentral lists this ribosomal RNA (532 nucleotides) under uncultured bacterium. RNAcentral's name for it is "bacterial SSU rRNA". It matches the Rfam family "Bacterial small subunit ribosomal RNA", at positions 977 to 1509 of the family's 1533-position model. The record is from RNAcentral.
GGCCUUGACAUACUAAGAACUUUCCAGAGAUGGAUUGGUGCCUUCGGGAACUUAGAUACAGGUGCUGCAUGGCUGUCGUCAGCUCGUGUCGUGAGAUGUUGGGUUAAGUCCGCAACGAGCGCAACCCUUUUCCUUAUUUGCCAGCGGGUCAUGCCGGGAACUUUAAGGAUACUGCCAGUGACAAACUGGAGGAAGGCGGGGACGACGUCAAGUCAUCAUGGCCCUUACGGCCAGGGCUACACACGUGCUACAAUGGUCGGUACAAAGGGUUGCUACCUCGCGAGAGGAUGCUAAUCUCAAAAAGCCGAUCGUAGUCCGGAUCGCAGUCUGCAACUCGACUGCGUGAAGUCGGAAUCGCUAGUAAUCGCGGAUCAGAAUGCCGCGGUGAAUACGUUCCCGGGCCUUGUACACACCGCCCGUCACACCAUGGGAGUUUGUUGCACCAGAAGUAGGUAGUCUAACCGCAAGGAGGACGCUUACCACGGUGUGGCCGAUGACUGGGGUGAAGUCGUAACAAGGUAGGCGUACUACA